Molecule: ribosomal RNA, 492 nt
Filed under: uncultured bacterium
Lineage: Bacteria
Description: bacterial SSU rRNA
Rfam family: Bacterial small subunit ribosomal RNA
Source: RNAcentral
AAAUGAAUAGACGGGGGCCCGCACAAGCGGUGGAGCAUGUGGCUUAAUUCGAUGCAACGCGAAGAACCUUACCUGGGCUCGAACGCUGCUGGCUGGGACCUGAAAGGGUUCGUUCUUCGGACCGGCAGUGAGGUGCUGCAUGGCUGUCGUCAGUUCGUGUCGUGAGAUGUUGGGUUAAGUCCCGCAACGAACGCAACCCCUACUCUUAGUUACCAGCACGUGGUGGUGGGGACUCUAAGGGGACUGCCUGCGCAAGCAGUGAGGAAGGUGGGGAUGACGUCAAGUCAUCAUGGCCCUUACGCCCAGGGCUGCACACGUGCUACAAUGGUCGGUACAGAGGGCGGCGACGUCGUGAGGCGGAGCGAAUCCUCAAAGCCGAUCUCAGUUCGGAUCGGAGUCUGCAACUCGACUCCGUGAAGUCGGAAUCGCUAGUAAUCGCGUAUCAGCUACGACGCGGUGAAUACGUUCCCGGGCCUUGUACACACCGCCCGU